UACGUAGGCAGCAAGCGUUGUUCGGAGUUACUGGGCGUAAAGGGUGCGUAGGCGGCUUUUUAAGUCUGGUGUGAAAUCUCCCGGCUCAACUGGGAGGGUGCGCCGGAUACUGAGGGGCUAGAGUGUGGGAGAGGAAAGUGGAAUUCCUGGUGUAGCGGUGAAAUGCGUAGAUAUCAGGAGGAACACCGGUGGUGUAAACGGCUUUCUGGACCAUAACUGACGCUGAGGCACGAAAGCGUGGGUAGCAAACAGG
Molecule: ribosomal RNA, 253 nt
Filed under: uncultured bacterium
Lineage: Bacteria
Description: partial 16S ribosomal RNA
Rfam family: Bacterial small subunit ribosomal RNA
Source: RNAcentral